UGCAGCCAUCGAGAAUCUUCCAGG
RNAcentral lists this non-coding RNA (24 nucleotides) under Rattus norvegicus (Norway rat). Lineage: Eukaryota; Metazoa; Chordata; Mammalia; Rodentia; Muridae. The record is from RNAcentral.